This 443-nucleotide ribosomal RNA is filed under the name uncultured bacterium. RNAcentral describes it as "partial 16S ribosomal RNA". It matches the Rfam family "Bacterial small subunit ribosomal RNA", at positions 338 to 795 of the family's 1533-position model. The record is from RNAcentral.
CCUACGGGAGGCAGCAGUGGGGAAUAUUGGGCAAUGGGCGCAAGCCUGACGCAGCAACGCCGCGUGAAUGAAGAAGGCUUUCGGGUUGUAAACUUCUUUUCUCAGGGACGAAGCAAGUGACGGUACCUGAGGAAUAAGCCACGGCUAACUACGUGCCAACAGCCGCGGUAAUACGUGGGGGGCAAGCGUUAUCCGGAUUUACUGGGUGUAAAGGGCGUGGAGGCGGGACUGCAAGUCAGAUGUGAAAACCACGGGCUCAACCUGUGGGCUGCAUUUGAAACUGUAGUUCUUGAGUGCUGGAGAGGCAGGCGGAAUUCCUAGUGUAGCGGUGAAAUGCGUAGAUAUUAGGAGGAACACCAGUGGCGAAGGCGGUCUGCUGGACAGCAACUGACGCUGAGGCGCGAAAGCGUGGGGAGCAAACAGGAUUAGAUACCCGAGUAGUC